ARGAUWAACUCCCAAACCCAAUGUGAACGUUACCAAACUGUUGCCUCGGCGGGGUCACGCCCCGGGUGCGUCSYAGCCCCGGAACCAGGCGCCCGCCGGAGGAACCAACCAAACUCUUUCUGUAGUCCCCUCGCGGACGUAUUUCUUUACAGCUCUGAGCAAAAAUUCAAAAUGAAUCAAAACUUUCAACAACGGAUCUCUUGGYUCUGGCAUCGAUGAAGAACGCAGCGAAAUGCGAUAAGUAAUGUGAAUUGCAGAAUUCAGUGAAUCAUCGAAUCUUUGAACGCACAUUGCGCCCGCCAGUAUUCUGGCGGGCAUGCCUGUCCGAGCGUCAUUUCAACCCUCGAACCCCUCCGGGGGAUCGGCGUUGGGGAUCGGGACCCCUCACACGGGUGCCGGCCCCUAAAUACAGUGGCGGUCUCGCCGCAGCCUCUCCUGCGCAGUAGUUUGCACAACUCGCACCGGGAGCGCGGCGCGUCCACGUCCGUAAAACACCCAACUUUCUGAAAUGUUGACCUCGGAUCAGGUAGGAAUACCCGCUGAACUUAAGCAUAUCAAUAAGCGGARGAA
Molecule: ribosomal RNA, 570 nt
Filed under: Trichoderma sp. PPRI 16768
Lineage: Eukaryota; Fungi; Ascomycota; Sordariomycetes; Hypocreales; Hypocreaceae
Description: eukaryotic LSU rRNA
Source: RNAcentral